GUCUUUACGCUGGGACCAAAGCAGUAGGGCGUGACCGAUAAGGGAUCCACUGUUAGUGCUUUUUGCAAACUAUUCCACAACGCAGUCCGAAACAAUUCGGCCUGCAAUUUUUAAUUCUAUCCUAAUUGGAUA
Dictyostelium discoideum AX4 is the source of this 132-nucleotide small nuclear RNA. It matches the Rfam family "U4 spliceosomal RNA". Rfam says of the family: U4 small nuclear RNA (U4 snRNA) is a component of the major U2-dependent spliceosome. NCBI's taxonomy places the organism in Eukaryota, Evosea, Eumycetozoa, Dictyosteliales, Dictyosteliaceae. The record is from Rfam.